CUGAUAAACAAAUGUAUGUAUGUAAUCUUGUCAGGUUGAUCCAUUUGUAUCUCUAAGUUCACUUACAGGUACAUUUUUCCAGGUGUUGCAGAGGCAAAUAUGUAUUGGUGCUAUUGUCUAGAAUCGGCCCAUAUAAAUUUAUCACCACAAUCAACAGAACUGUUCCAAAUAUGAAGUUGGAAAGUGAGAUAAGACUGUGUUGCACAUACAGUGUUUACAUAUACUGUAUGUGUGUGAUUAAUCUGUGUAUUUAUGAGGAAAACCUAAAUUGUUUUUUUUCCCAUGUAAACAGGAUUUACCUUCAUUGUCUCUUUUACUGUCAAACCAUCAAUGCCUACAUGUUCCAUCUGGUGCGGAAUUUUUAAAGGCAGUCAACAGAGCAAGCUUUCUACAAUGACAUUUAAAAUUACUGGCAUUUGGGGAGCAAGAAAUGAAAACUUAAGGUUGGUUGGAUUAUUCUCAUAAUAUCUUAUAUUUGACAGAUUUUGAACUCAAGCAACUAUCCCUGCUCUUUGACAUUUCAGAUUGAUCCAAUGAUGUACAAGUACAUUAUUGGCAUCAUCAAUGAACACAACCACUGGACUGUGACGGAGUCGUCGAUUGCCUUUUCAAAUACGGACGAAGACGUUAACAUCACAAGAGAAGAAAUAGCAGCCACUCUCCUCCAAAACACUGAUUGGUUGUGACCGCUGCCCACGAAGGUCCCACCAGUCCUGUAUGAAAACCAUCCCAUCAUUGGAGGAUUAUGUCUACGCUGCAUGUCAGGACUAGGUUAGGCUAGAGUUCCAGGUGACAGUAUCACCUGGAAAACUUUCCAUAAAAAGUGGAAUAAAUGUCCAGUUUCUUUGUUAUUUGAUUUGUCAUUUUACAUCUUAUUGAUUAUACUUUUUAUAGAACAAACUUCACAUCAGGAUAGGAAACCAA
Oncorhynchus gorbuscha (pink salmon) is the source of this 924-nucleotide long non-coding RNA. RefSeq lists it as uncharacterized. NCBI's taxonomy places the organism in Eukaryota, Metazoa, Chordata, Actinopteri, Salmoniformes, Salmonidae. The record is from RefSeq and is a predicted model, not a curated record. The transcript has 3 exons.